CAGGCCUAACACAUGCAAGUCGAGCGGAUGAGAGGGGCUUGCUCCUUGAUUUAGCGGCGGACGGGUGAGUAAUGCCUAGGAAUCUGCCUGGUGGUGGGGGAUAACGUUCCGAAAGGAACGCUAAUACCGCAUACGUUAUACGGGAGAAAGCGGGGGAUCUUCGGACCUCGCGCCAUUAGAUGAGCCUAGGUCGGAUUAGCUAGUUGGUGAGGUAACGGCUCACCAAGGCGACGAUCCGUAACUGGUCUGAGAGGAUGAUCAGUCACACUGGAACUGAGACACGGUCCAGACUCCUACGGGAGGCAGCAGUGGGGAAUAUUGGACAAUGGGCGAAAGCCUGAUCCAGCCAUGCCGCGUGUGUGAAGAAGGUCUUCGGAUUGUAAAGCACUUUAAGUUGGGAGGAAGGGUAUUCACCUAAUACGUGAGUAUUUUGACGUUACCGACAGAAUAAGCACCGGCUAACU
RNAcentral lists this ribosomal RNA (464 nucleotides) under Pseudomonas sp. EpRS8. RNAcentral's name for it is "bacterial SSU rRNA". It matches the Rfam family "Bacterial small subunit ribosomal RNA", at positions 43 to 502 of the family's 1533-position model. The record is from RNAcentral. Lineage: Bacteria; Pseudomonadati; Pseudomonadota; Gammaproteobacteria; Pseudomonadales; Pseudomonadaceae.